RNAcentral lists this ribosomal RNA (1551 nucleotides) under Triticum aestivum (bread wheat). Its description in RNAcentral is "partial small subunit ribosomal RNA". Lineage: Eukaryota; Viridiplantae; Streptophyta; Magnoliopsida; Poales; Poaceae. The record is from RNAcentral.
CACCAUAUUAAUAAGUCUUAAACUAUCUUCCUCUUCAUAUGAAUGUCUUUAAUUAGAUAGAUAAACGCCUGUGACAGUAUACUUGUGCAUCAGACGUUCAAAAUUUAUAAAGUACCGUUCCGUUACCGAAUACUACAUGACUACAUGAGAGAACCAGAGGAGAGUGAUACAUACUACCGUUCCGUUACCGAUGACACUGUUCUUCGUAACGUAUUUAGUCGAUACGGAGCACAGAUGUGUCAACAGCAGGUGAAGUAAGAGUAAAAAGUUAAUAUGCUCUGUCGUUUAGUUUUCUAGUGAACCUGUACCAGAUCGACGUGUAUAAUCGUUAUCUUACAUAUGUUGUUGUUUUUAUCUACCAGACGUGUUGUGUUCUGGUUUAAUGAAUAUCAUCUAGCUUGUCUAGUGCGGCUUAUAACCGAAGAAAGAGAACGGUCUCAUUAAAAGACCCUGACCAAAGGUCGAAAAGUUAUUAGGAAAAUAGCGUUAAGGUAAGGAGUAACUUGAUAUGUGUACUUAGUUGGUUACUUUUAGUCCACUUUUAUUUCUUUUGUUUCAAUAAUCAUACGAUUUCUUGUUGUCAUUUUUUUAGCCUACAGAAACUGACUUUUUACCUCUACGAACACUAUUAGUCAUUUGGUUGUUAUUUCAACAACGGUUAUUAUUAAAUCGUACGUCGGAGUUCAUCGGGUACAAGUUGAUAAUGGUUUCUCCUUAUAUUGCCUAAUGGAAUGGAGUAUAGUAUCAACAAUAUGAGUAAGUUUUUCAACCGACGUUAUUGACAAGUUUUUCUAGGUUUAAAGAGGACUUUGUAUUAUCUUUGCAGUACGACAACCGUGGAAGCAGAAAAUGUUUAUUUUAUACUUAUAGAAAUCCUCCUUCGACUUCGCCGUAUCGUAGCCAGCGGACAUCAUGUCAAUUUUAAUUGUACAAGGAGGCAAUGUUUUAUUAAACACACGCCGAAUUAAAUAUAUAGAUUCCUACUAUCCUACUUAGUGCUCAUUUUACGAUGGAUAUCACUUGAAACAGAAUAUCAUAUCAAUCAAUUUUGUCUACGAAGUUCAUAAGGAAGAUUGGCUCAUUAACAUAACAUAUAUAUACUCGUUUACCGUAUCUUGUGGUACGCAGAUGUACGAAUGUACGCAUCAACGUGACGGAUUCUUUAGACUACCGCGUUGUGGUGGUGUUUAGUUAUCACGAACUUGAACAACCUAAUCCGACGUGUCAGCUCCCCGUCACGGUCACGCACCAGCGGUCCUGCUGAGCAACCUCCUAAAUACUGAGAAGAAACACUUGAACCACCUGUGCGUCAGUUCUACGUAGAUAGGUAUCCAACGUAGGACCCUUGACAGAAGGAAGGUAGUUUAUGACCGAGGAAACUAUCUCGUUUCAGAUGUUGCUGGACGUUCAUGGUUUAUUUUGUUUGUUACGUGUAAUCGUAUUCAUUAAAGGAUCGAUUGAUUAUGAGGGAGACAUUACUUUAUUUUAUAGCUGUAGCAAAUAAAUGUCUCCCUCAUAAACGCUGCCUUGACCUAUAGAAAUAAAAUCAAG